This is a non-coding RNA of Phyllostomus hastatus (greater spear-nosed bat), 473 nucleotides long. The record is from the annotation of a RefSeq genome assembly. NCBI's taxonomy places the organism in Eukaryota, Metazoa, Chordata, Mammalia, Chiroptera, Phyllostomidae.
GCAAGGGGAUAAGAGAAGCCUGGGAGGAGAGCUGCCCAGCCUGGGGCCUCAGGGAUCAGACGUGGGGCACCUCCACCAUGACCUGGACCCCUCUCCUCCUCAGCCUGCUUGCUCACUGCACAGGGUCUGUGGCCUCCUAUGAGGUGACACAGCCACCCUCGAUGUCAGUGCAGCCAGGACAGACAGCCAGGAUCACCUGUGGGGGAGACAACAUUGGAGGUAAAAGUGUUUCCUGGUACCAGCAGAAGCCCGGCCAGGCCCCUGUAACCAUCAUCUACUGGGAUAGCAACCGGCCGUCAGGUAUCCCUGACCGGUUCUCAGGCUCCAACUCGGGGAACACGGCCACCCUGACCAUCAGCGGGGUCCAGGCCCAGGACGAGGCUGACUACUACUGUGCAGCAUAUAGUAGUGGUACUAAUACUCACGGUGGCACAGGCAGACGGGGAAAGCUGCCAGCUCCACUGAGCUCCUGA